This 322-nucleotide ribosomal RNA is filed under the name uncultured Prevotella sp. RNAcentral's name for it is "partial 16S ribosomal RNA". The record is from RNAcentral. Lineage: Bacteria; Pseudomonadati; Bacteroidota; Bacteroidia; Bacteroidales; Prevotellaceae.
GGAGUUUGGUCCGUGUCUCAGUACCAAUGUGGGGGACCUUCCUCUCAGAACCCCUACUGAUCGUUGCCCCGGUGGGCCGUUACCCCGCCUGCUGCCUAAUCGUACGCAUCCCCAUCCAUCGGCGACCGAAGUCUUUCGUGAAAAUCAGAGGCCUUCUUCUCACAACAUCAGGUAUUAGGCUCCCUUUCGGGAGUUUAUUCCUGACCCAUGGGCAGGUUGGAUACGCGUUACUCACUCGUGCGCCGGUCGUCAUCUGACUGAGCAAGCUCCGCCAAUGUUACCCCUCGACUUGCAUGUGUUAAGCCUGUAGCUAGCGUUCAUC